UACGUAGGGUGCAAGCGUUGUCCGGAAUUAUUGGGCGUAAAGAGCUCGUAGGCGGUCUGUCGCGUCUGCUGUGAAAACUCGGGGCUUAACCCCGGGCCUGCAGUGGGUACGGGCAGACUAGAGUGCGGUAGGGGAGACUGGAAUUCCUGGUGUAGCGGUGAAAUGCGCAGAUAUCAGGAGGAACACCGGUGGCGAAGGCGGGUCUCUGGGACGUAACUGACGCUGAGGAGCGAAAGCGUGGGGAGCGAACAGG
Molecule: ribosomal RNA, 253 nt
Filed under: uncultured bacterium
Lineage: Bacteria
Description: partial 16S ribosomal RNA
Rfam family: Bacterial small subunit ribosomal RNA
Source: RNAcentral